This 450-nucleotide ribosomal RNA is filed under the name uncultured Paraglomus. RNAcentral describes it as "SSU rRNA". It matches the Rfam family "Eukaryotic small subunit ribosomal RNA", at positions 569 to 1024 of the family's 1831-position model. Lineage: Eukaryota; Fungi; Glomeromycota; Glomeromycetes; Paraglomerales; Paraglomeraceae. The record is from RNAcentral.
AGCAGCCGCGGUAAUUCCAGCUCCAAUAGCGUAUAUUAAAGUUGUUGCAGUUAAAAAGCUCGUAGUUGAAUUUCAGGCCUGGCUGGACGGUCCGCCCUUCGGGUGAGUACUGUCUGUGGUCGGGUCCUACCUUCUGGCGAAGCGUCAUGGCCUUAACCGGCCGUGGCGGGGAACCAGGACUUUUACUGUGAAAAAUUAGAGUGUUCAAAGCAGGCAAUCGCUUGGAUACAUUAGCAUGGAAUAAUGGAAUAGGACAAUGGUUCUAUUUGUUGGUUUCUAGGACCGUUGUAAUGAUUAAUAGGGAUAGUUGGGGGCAUUAGUAUUCAAUUGUCAGAGGUGAAAUUCUUGGAUUUAUUGAAGACUAACUACUGCGAAAGCAUUUGCCAAGGAUGUUUUCAUUAAUCAAGAACGAAAGUUAGGGGAUCGAAGACGAUCAGAUACCGUCGUAGU